This 497-nucleotide ribosomal RNA is filed under the name uncultured bacterium. RNAcentral describes it as "partial 16S ribosomal RNA". It matches the Rfam family "Bacterial small subunit ribosomal RNA", at positions 28 to 507 of the family's 1533-position model. The record is from RNAcentral.
GAUGAACGCUGGCGGCGUGCCUAAUACAUGCAAGUCGAGCGAACAGACGAGGAGCUUGCUCCUUUGACGUUAGCGGCGGACGGGUGAGUAACACGUGGAUAACCUACCUAUAAGACUGGGAUAACUUCGGGAAACCGGAGCUAAUACCGGAUAACAUGUUGAACCGCAUGGUUCAACAGUGAAAGACGGUCUUGCUGUCACUUAUAGAUGGAUCCGCGCCGCAUUAGCUAGUUGGUAAGGUAACGGCUUACCAAGGCAACGAUGCGUAGCCGACCUGAGAGGGUGAUCGGCCACACUGGAACUGAGACACGGUCCAGACUCCUACGGGAGGCAGCAGUAGGGAAUCUUCCGCAAUGGGCGAAAGCCUGACGGAGCAACGCCGCGUGGGUGAAGAAGGUCUUCGGAUCGUAAAACUCUGUUAUUAGGGAAGAACAAAUGUGUAAGUAACUAUGCACGUCUUGACGGUACCUAAUCAGAAAGCCACGGCUAACUACGUG